This 1112-nucleotide long non-coding RNA is filed under the name Homo sapiens (human). Its description in RNAcentral is "HSALNT0363116". The stretch from base 1 to 72 matches the Rfam family "Small nucleolar RNA SNORD27". The record is from RNAcentral. Lineage: Eukaryota; Metazoa; Chordata; Mammalia; Primates; Hominidae.
ACUCCAUGAUGAACACAAAAUGACAAGCAUAUGGCUGAACUUUCAAGUGAUGUCAUCUUACUACUGAGAAGUGAGAGAGAGGUCUUAAGGGGUCUUUGAAUGACUAUUUUUAGGUACAUAAAAUGCUUUCCUCUGUUGUCUACAGCAUCUCAUAAUCUAUCCUGGGGAAUUCAGCUGCCUCCCAGGGUGAAUACAGGUAUUCCUGAUGACAGUCUGCCUCUAUCUUACAGAGCAGCUUGUUGCUAUAUACCAUUGAAAAGCCUUCAGAGCUGAGAGGUACUACUAACCAAUAACCUGCUUGGCUCAAAGGGCCAGCACCUUCUCUCUAAAGCCCAAGAGGAGUUUGAGGAAAACUAGGUGUCUGUGUUCACUCCAGGCUGAAGUUACAGGUCUGAGCAAAUAAGGUGUAUAAAAAAUGGAAUCUGUCUUGGAGGACAUCAGAAGGUGAAUUUUCCAAGUUCUUGGACAACCUAGCUGUUGAAAAGCUUUCUGGGUUUGGGGGGUAUUUCAGAUGUACCUUAAAGUGUUAGCAGACACAGAUUAAGACACUGGGAGCCAAUGAAACAGCAGUUGAGGGUUUGCUGUGUAUCACAUUUCUGUAUUUUAUCACCCCCUUCCUGCAACAUUAUUUAUCUGGAAUCUACCUGCCCUUUUGUUUUUUAGAUACAAGGGCUUGGUUUUGUUACCCAGGCUGGUUUCAAGGCCAUAGCUUUAAGAGAUCCUCUCACCACAGAUUUCCAAAGUGCUGGGAUUGCAGGUGUGAUUCAUGGCACCCAGACUUUGCUGCCUUUCUUACAUGAUCCAGGCCCAGAACCCAAACUCAGGCACUGUAUAGAUGACCACUUUCGUAAACUACUGACCUAGCUUGUUGCCAAUUGUUGAUUGAACUUCCCAUAACUCCACUUCGUGUCUGUUCCUCUGUAUACAGCCACCUUCUGUUCCCGUCAUGAGCCUUUAGGUCUCCAUUUGCAUAUUGCAAAUACUAUGUUCCAUGUAGGUAGCUCAUUCAGGGCCUUGCUCUUCACUUCAAAAAAGGUUCCCUUGAGGACUGGCUGUCAAUUUGUGUUGCUGUGUUGGUUGUUGAUGAAAAUAAUAAAAUGAUUGAUUACAUA